RNAcentral lists this ribosomal RNA (442 nucleotides) under uncultured bacterium. RNAcentral describes it as "bacterial SSU rRNA". It matches the Rfam family "Bacterial small subunit ribosomal RNA", at positions 34 to 518 of the family's 1533-position model. The record is from RNAcentral.
CGCUGGCGGCAGGCCUAACACAUGCAAGUCGAGCGCGCCCUUCGGGGUGAGCGGCGGACGGGUUAGUAACGCGUGGGAACGUACCCUUUGGUAGGGAAUAGCCACGUGGAAACGGUGAGUAAUACCCUAUGAGCCCUUCGGGGGAAAGAUUUUAUCGCCAAAGGAUCGGCCCGCGUUAGGAUUAGGUAGUUGGUGGGGUAAUGGCCUACCAAGCCUACGAUCUAUAGCUGGUUUUAGAGGAUGAUCAGCAACACUGGGACUGAGACACGGCCCAGACUCCUACGGGAGGCAGCAGUGGGGAAUCUUGGACAAUGGGGGCAACCCUGAUCCCAGCCAUGCCGCGUGAGUGAAGAAGGCCUUAGGGUCGUAAAGCUCUUUCGCCUGUGAAGAUAAUGACGGUAGCAGGUAAAGAAACCCCGGCUAACUCCGUGCCAGCCGCUGC